Molecule: ribosomal RNA, 253 nt
Filed under: uncultured bacterium
Lineage: Bacteria
Description: partial 16S ribosomal RNA
Rfam family: Bacterial small subunit ribosomal RNA
Source: RNAcentral
UACGGGGGGGGCAAGCGUUGUCCGGAAUUAUUGGGCGUAAAGGGCUCGUAGGCGGUUUGUCGCGUCGGGAGUGAAAACACCGGGCUUAACUCGGUGCUUGCUUUCGAUACGGGCAGACUAGAGGUAUGCAGGGGAGAACGGAAUUCCUGGUGUAGCGGUGAAAUGCGCAGAUAUCAGGAGGAACACCGGUGGCGAAGGCGGUUCUCUGGGCAUGUCCUGACGCUGAGGAGCGAAAGUGUGGGGAGCGAACAGG